UGUGCCUACGGGGCGCAGCAGUGGGGAAUAUUGGGCAAUGGGCGCAAGCCUGACCCAGCAACGCCGCGUGAAGGAAGAAGGCCCUCGGGUUGUAAACUUCUUUUAUCAGGGACGAAACAAAUGACGGUACCUGAUGAAUAAGCCACGGCUAACUACGUGCCAGCAGCCGCGGUAAUACGUAGGUGGCAAGCGUUAUCCGGAUUUACUGGGUGUAAAGGGCGUGUAGGCGGGAAAGCAAGUCAGAUGUGAAAACCAUGGGCUCAACCUGUGGCCUGCAUUUGAAACUGGUUUUCUUGAGUACUGGG
RNAcentral lists this ribosomal RNA (305 nucleotides) under uncultured bacterium. Its description in RNAcentral is "bacterial SSU rRNA". It matches the Rfam family "Bacterial small subunit ribosomal RNA", at positions 333 to 653 of the family's 1533-position model. The record is from RNAcentral.